Molecule: ribosomal RNA, 495 nt
Filed under: uncultured bacterium
Lineage: Bacteria
Description: partial 16S ribosomal RNA
Rfam family: Bacterial small subunit ribosomal RNA
Source: RNAcentral
GACGAACGCUGGCGGCGUGCCUAAUACAUGCAAGUAGAACGCUGAAGGAGGAGCUUGCUCUUCUGGAUGAGUUGCGAACGGGUGAGUAACGCGUAGGUAACCUGCCUGGUAGCGGGGGAUAACUAUUGGAAACGAUAGCUAAUACCGCAUAACAGUAGAUGCUGCAUGACAUUUGCUUAAAAGGUGCAAUUGCAUCACUACCAGAUGGACCUGCGUUGUAUUAGCUAGUUGGUGGGGUAACGGCUCACCAAGGCGACGAUACAUAGCCGACCUGAGGGGGGGAUCGGCCACACUGGGACUGAGACACGGCCCAGACUCCUACGGGAGGCAGCAGUAGGGAAUCUUCGGCAAUGGACGGAAGUCUGAACGAGCAACGCCGCGUGAGUGAAGAAGGUUUUCGGAUCGUAAAGCUCUGUUGUAAGAGAAGAACGAGUGUGAGAGUGGAAAGUUCACACUGUGACGGUAUCUUACCAGAAAGGGACGGCUAACUACGUG